Long non-coding RNA from Gallus gallus (chicken), 1087 nucleotides. RefSeq lists it as uncharacterized. The record is from RefSeq and is a predicted model, not a curated record. The transcript is spliced from 6 exons. NCBI's taxonomy places the organism in Eukaryota, Metazoa, Chordata, Aves, Galliformes, Phasianidae.
GGAGUUCGUCGUGCGGGGACGGCGCGGUGCUGGGCGGCUGCAGGCUUCGUCAGAGCGCGCCUCUUGUCGGGAUGAGGCGCGGAGGACGGUUUGCUCUGCCGUCCGUGUCGACACGGACCCGAAGAGCAUCAUGUACUGAGUUUGAGGUGUAGAGACCUGUUGCUGCUCCCGACCUCCUUUGGGCUGGAGCUGGCUGACCUGCCGGCUGCUCCAUUCUACAGGGACAAAGCUGCUCUCCUCACUGCUCCUCCACUCCAGGACUGAACGUCCAGAGCCCAGCUCACCUUAACAGAGCAAUCAUUUGUGAAGUGAUUUCCCCAGAAUAAGCAUGCUUGCAAGUGGAAAAUUUCCUGCACAUAAUGGGAAGGUGCCUGAGCAUUUUACAGACCUGAGAUUGCAUCGAUACGCCUUUGGAAGGUUCCAGGCAAAAAGGCUUUCCUUCUGUCUUUCCCAAUGAGACUUCAGUUUAGAGCCCUACAUAAUAUUUGCGUGAAACCUGCAGCACCCUUCCUUACCAUGACUGCAGAUCAACAGACCGUGAUUGUUGUAGACUGUGCAGCAAGAGGUGAGACCUACAGGCUGCUCCCUGCCAACGCUCUUCCUCCACAGUGCAUGAAGUUCUCUGAAACAUCUCCAGCUUUGCCUUCCAAAGAUUCACAAGAGAUUGAGGCAGAGUGGCAGUGAAAAAUGUUGAUGUAUCAAUAGCCUGGGACCCCACUUGCUCCACUGCCCUGAGAGAUUGCAACAGGAUGCUCCCCUGCUCUUAGUCCAGGACUGGUUUCAAGUCUCCAGAUGCUGCAGAUGGCUCCCUUAUGGCUGUCAGUGAUGUAUGUCCAGCUGUUGCAUCACAUUCUGCUCACAUGCUGAGGAACAUCUCAAAGUGCCAAAAAGUGGUUAUUACGUUAUUUAGAAAACAACAAGAGAAAAAACACUCCAACCAACCAAGCAAGCAAUAAAACCACCCAUAAACUGGCAUCCAUGCUGCUGCUGUCAAAACAACCAAUAUGCCUAAUGAAGUGUCCUUCUUGAGGAAAAUAUGAAUUGAAAUAGAAUUGACAUAAUGUCUGAAAAUCAAGCACAUGAUCAU